RNAcentral lists this ribosomal RNA (329 nucleotides) under uncultured eukaryote. Its description in RNAcentral is "partial 18S ribosomal RNA". It matches the Rfam family "Eukaryotic small subunit ribosomal RNA", at positions 1470 to 1796 of the family's 1831-position model. The record is from RNAcentral.
CCCUUAGAUGUUCUGGGCCGCACGCGCGCUACACUGAUGCAUUCAACGAGUCUAAAACCUGCUCUGAUAGGGGUGGGUAAUCUUUUGAAUGUGCAUCGUGAUUGGGAUAGAUGAUUGCAAUUUUUCAUCUUCAACGAGGAAUGCCUAGUAAACGCAAGUCAUCAGCUUGCAUUGAUUACGUCCCUGCCCUUUGUACACACCGCCCGUCGCUCCUACCGAUUGAAUGAUCCGAUGAAUAUCAUGGAUUGAGGAUGCAAGUAGGUUAGCCUAUCUUCAUCUUCGAGAAGUGAAGUAAAUCUUAACAUUUAGAGGAAGGAGAAGUCGUAACA